Molecule: long non-coding RNA, 1189 nt
Organism: Anguilla rostrata (American eel)
Lineage: Eukaryota; Metazoa; Chordata; Actinopteri; Anguilliformes; Anguillidae
Exons: 3
Source: RefSeq, a predicted model, not a curated record
UGUUUUCCUGUCUGUGUUUCCCUUGUUGGGCCGCCAGAUGGCGGCACUUCUGUUUUGUGUCCUGCUCCCCCCUGUUAAUUGUAUUAUUGUUGUCUUGUUAUUCUAUCAUUGUUCCCAUCUGUGUCUUGUUAUCCCCUCCUUUUCUGGGUUGAUUGUUUUUUGAGUUCACCUGUGUCUUGUUACCCCCUGUCUAUUUAAGUUCUUUGUUCCCUUGACUCGGGUGCUGGUUCCUUGUGUUUGUUCCCGACUUGUGUUUCAGACCCUGUAUUCAGGCUUUUGACGAAGAUGGCACACUGGGACUGAAGAAAGAAAAACGGCUUUCUGUCAAUGACGCAGCACGCAGAUAUGCAGUAUAGAAUGUCAAUUACACAACCUGGCGAUGGUUUCCACGGCUGCGGAGCAGCUAAAGCUCUGCUUUAACCCAGAGAUGGAAAAUCCAGGUUCAGAAAGUAAGUCCUCCCCAAACCUAAUUUUAUUCCAUUCACCUAGAUUUGCUAAUUAGCACAAUUCUUCAGCCAGGAGGUGGAACUAAUUAGAGCAAUCACAUGGCUGAGUUAGUGAGUAGAAGAAACACAUAGCAGGACUUACUUUCUGACCCCUGGAAUUUACAGAUUUGGUUUAGCCAUGUCCCUCCAUGGUCCGGAGCCAAACUCUGACCGCGCCCAAUGCUGACUGGCCAGCGGCCCUGCAGAGUAGCAUUGGACCGAUUGGGCUGCUGUAGUUCAUCUGCCCCAGCUGCACAUGAAGCUAACUCCUUCAACGCAGCAAUUACGCCACGGCUCAGCCAGUGCAGUGUGGAGUGACAGGAAGAGAAGGAUCACAAUGCUUCAGAAAAGAGCUGCUUGUCUGUUCUGUCCAGAUGGAGGAUGCUACCACAAAUAAAUGCUUCCAGUAUGAAUUUGUGAGUAAUUGGAACACAUGCAGUCAGGGAAAGGUGAAGCAAGACACAUGGGACUACUGAACUUUUCACCGAGGAGCAGAACAUCCUGAGCAUGCUGCUAGGACAGAUCAACUCAAUUCUAGUUGUUCUUUCUUUGAUGAUGAGUGAGGCGAGCUGUGUGUGCAUGUUUGUGGGUGGGUGAGGGUGGGGAGGUGUAUCCAAUCUUUUUAUCUUCUCUAUUUUUGAUAAUGAUUAAAAAAAAACAUUAUCUAGGAGGACAUUUUGUGAGUAACGGGUCAAAAGGGCAGG